This 233-nucleotide long non-coding RNA is filed under the name Lathyrus oleraceus (garden pea). RNAcentral's name for it is "Pisum sativum (pea) long non-coding RNA (PSAT_LNC001159)". The record is from RNAcentral. Lineage: Eukaryota; Viridiplantae; Streptophyta; Magnoliopsida; Fabales; Fabaceae.
UGGGUUAGACUACAUAAGAGGAAAGCUCUGUAACCGAGCUUAGUAUACACAUAGGUUAGACUCGUGGAUAGUCGUGUACGCCUGCGUUUCGUGUGUUGGGUUGUCACGAGAGCCACACCCAGACUAGAUUCACUUGGAAGUACUUUUGUCCUGUGAGUAUUCACUAUGAAAGGGUAUUUCCAUUUCGAGUCGAUGACUCUAGGAGACCUUCUAGGGACCACCUUGGAGCAUAG